UUUCUCCUCCCGGUUUUGUUUUCUCUCCUCUUCUUCCAUGCUACACUUCUUUGAUUCCAAUCUUCUUUGGUUUUCUGUUUCUGUUUCUUUCUAUCGAUUUCUGUUAUGCGAUCGUUGUAAGGGGUGUUUUGGGGAUUGUGAGAAGUUGGCGAUUGGGAGAGGUUGAUUCUGUUACGAUUUUCCGUUACGUUCAAUUUUUGAAGUCAUUUUUUUUGUUUUCCUUCAUUUGCAGGUUGUUCAGAAGAAUCUGUUAGGGAGAGGGAGGUUAUGGAGGAUGGAGAGUGAAGAAGUUGUUUUGCUCUAUUCGGUUCAAGGGUGUUGUUACGGAGUUAGUCGAGUUUUAGUUGGUUGAAACUUGGUUAUAUAGUUUGUUAGGAUAUGGAUGUUUUUUGUGAAGUUUUUCUGGAUUUUGCUAGGAUGGGGGUGAUUUGGUUAGGCAUUUUUUAUGGAGGUUAUGAUUGUCGAAGGGAAUUUUGAGAACUAGUUAUGUUUGUUGCAGCAGUUGGGAGAGAUUAGUUCAUUUAUGGAGGGUGAAGAGUUUUGAUUUUGUUGGUAACAGUUGGAGGGUGUAAAGAGUUGGUUGAAGUAGUUGGAGAGAACGAGAUUCCACCCUUGUUUAUGUUGAAGGUUCUUCCGGUUCUCUUCCGUUUGUAGGUUGAGAGGGUCAUUGAAAGAUGGUUAGGGGGUUCAAUGAAAAAUGGUUUUAAGCUCUUUUCUGUUAGGAUGGAGGUGAAGAUUGUUAUGAGUUGUAAUUAUGUUCAAGAAAAGUUUUUAUUGUGAUGCCAAAAGAUAUUGGUUUUGUGUUGUCCAAAUAAGCUUAUCAACUUGUUGCACCUCAGAAUUGCUCACAGAAUUUCCAUGGUGGUUGAUUCUUUUAUUCAUCCACUGGUCAGACUAGCACCAAUAAGUGAUCUGUUGGAGCAUAGCCAUCAAUUAUAGAUCAUUUGGAGAAUUCUUGCAGAUUUGUUGAAAGUUGGGUUGUGGAAAGCUUGAUAUGCUAUGUUAAUUGGUGUGAAGUUUACUUUUUGUUCAGACAUUAGGAUGGGAAUGCAAGAGCAAUGUAGCAAGGCUUGGUUGUUUGAAUUAUGAAUCAUACGCUGUAGAUUGUGUAAGGAUUGAAAAUGUAACUUUGUAAUUCAAAUUCAAAUUAUGUUACAAUUGGAAAUGGAAAGUAUAAUGGUUGUAAUGUGACAAAAUGGUUAAACAAUAUGGAAAUGUAUUAGGAGAUGAAUUGGGAUUUUGAAAUGAAUGAAAUGUUAUUAACGUA
This is a long non-coding RNA of Lathyrus oleraceus (garden pea), 1267 nucleotides long. RefSeq lists it as uncharacterized. Lineage: Eukaryota; Viridiplantae; Streptophyta; Magnoliopsida; Fabales; Fabaceae. The record is from RefSeq and is a predicted model, not a curated record. The transcript has 2 exons.